RNAcentral lists this transfer RNA (24 nucleotides) under Primula sorachiana. RNAcentral's name for it is "partial tRNA-Phe(GAA)". RNAcentral also lists the same sequence under 1 other name. Lineage: Eukaryota; Viridiplantae; Streptophyta; Magnoliopsida; Ericales; Primulaceae. The record is from RNAcentral.
GUCGGGAUAGCUNAGCUGGUAGAG